AGGAAUGGGAUAUAAAUACACACGAGGCAGGCGAUAGCGAAACUGAAUGUGCUUCCGUCGAGUUCGUCUCUUGCUACAUUGACUCAGUAAGAAAAUAUUCUGCAAACGACGUCGUGUUUUAUAUCCUUGAUGUUGCAAGAAUCCUUCGGACUCGGUUCUUCUAUCCCUAAAUGACACUACCAUCUACUUAAAUCAACGACACUGUUAAAUGUGUCAAGCACAUCCAGCACAGAGUAGUGGGAAAAAAACUACGGAGAGCCUAAAUUGACAUGAGAAAAGUCAACCGAUGGCAUUAAACUAACAAGUUGUUCGAAAAGAACUGCUUAAUUGAACUGCCAUGGCUUAGCAAACGGGACUAGUACCACUUCUACUUCGUUCAACUAUCCAUCAAUGGAUUGAUGCUGCAACAGUACUUCGGACAACCGACUUGAGAUCUGCACAACCUUGGCAAUCAAUAAAAGCGCCACCAAGGAAGAUGGUGUAUGUUGUGAAUUACAUCGUGCAGCACCUAACAGUUCCAGGAAACCGAACAGCUCUACUGUACUUCCGAGCUAUUGCUUCGAUGAAGUUUGAACAGGAAAAAACAUCAGACAGCCAAUAGCUAAAUUCCAAGACAAAUAGUGGAGUUGACUCUGGAGAAAAUGUGCAGCUGUUUGUAGGCAGAAAGAGAAGGUAAGAAAUGAUAAUCGCGAUUUAGACAAAAUUAUAGAGAACAUUCAUUCUAAAUGUACUGUAGG
This is a long non-coding RNA of Daphnia carinata, 737 nucleotides long. RefSeq lists it as uncharacterized. NCBI's taxonomy places the organism in Eukaryota, Metazoa, Arthropoda, Branchiopoda, Diplostraca, Daphniidae. The transcript is spliced from 4 exons. The record is from RefSeq and is a predicted model, not a curated record.